This is a long non-coding RNA of Prionailurus viverrinus (fishing cat), 313 nucleotides long. RefSeq lists it as uncharacterized. NCBI's taxonomy places the organism in Eukaryota, Metazoa, Chordata, Mammalia, Carnivora, Felidae. The transcript has 3 exons. The record is from RefSeq and is a predicted model, not a curated record.
CGGGAAGGGACGAGGGCCUCCUGGGGUCUCAGCGGCGCUGCCUGCUGAUCUGAAGUCUCUGAGCACCUCAAGAAAGGUUCAAUACCGUGUCCCGGGCGCUUGGGCCAGGCCGAGAAGCAGAGUUUUCACGGAAAUCAGCUCAGCAGAGAGCAGGGGGGACACCACUGGAGAGUCCCGGAUGACUCCCGUGAGAUCCUUAGCUUAAUUACACCGGCAAAGACUCUGUUUCCAAACAAGGCCUCAGUCACAGGUUCUGGGGUUUAAGAGACGGUCCUGGGGCGCCUGGGGGGGCUCAGUGGGUUAAGCGUCCAGC